This 74-nucleotide transfer RNA is filed under the name Ruminococcaceae bacterium FB2012. RNAcentral describes it as "tRNA_Glu_CTC". It matches the Rfam family "tRNA". Rfam says of the family: Transfer RNA (tRNA) molecules are approximately 80 nucleotides in length. Their secondary structure includes four short double-helical elements and three loops (D, anti-codon, and T loops). Lineage: Bacteria; Bacillati; Bacillota; Clostridia; Eubacteriales; Oscillospiraceae. The record is from RNAcentral.
GGCCGCAUCGUCUAACGGCAGGACGCAGGGCUCUCAAUCCUGUAAUAUGGGUUCAAAUCCCAUUGCGGUUACCA